Molecule: transfer RNA, 73 nt
Filed under: Dreissena polymorpha
Lineage: Eukaryota; Metazoa; Mollusca; Bivalvia; Myida; Dreissenidae
Description: transfer RNA threonine (anticodon UGU)
Rfam family: tRNA
About the family: Transfer RNA (tRNA) molecules are approximately 80 nucleotides in length. Their secondary structure includes four short double-helical elements and three loops (D, anti-codon, and T loops).
Source: RNAcentral
GCCUCCAUAGCUCAGUGGCAUAGCACUGGUCUUGUAAACCAGGGGUCGUGAGAUCGAUCCUCACUGGGGUGCA